AGACGGGGCCCGCACAAGCGGUGAGCAUGUGUUAAUCGACGCAACGCGAAGAACCUUACCUGGUCUUGACAUCCCGAGAAUUUUCUGAAAACAGAGAAGUGCCUCGCAAGAGGAAUUCGGAGACAGGUGCUGCAUGGCUGUCGUCAGCUCGUGUCGUGAGAUGUUGGGUUAAGUCCCGCAACGAGCGCAACCCUUGUCUUUAGUUGCCAUCAUUAAGUUGGGCACUCUAAAGAGACUGCCGGUGUCAAACCGGAGGAAGUGGGGAUGACGUCAAGUCCUCAUGGCCUUUAUGACCAGGGCUACACACGUACUACAAUGGCAGGUACAAAGGGCAGCCACUUAGCGAUAAGGCGCGAAUCCCGUAAAACCUGUCUCAGUCCGGAUUGGAGUCUGCAACUCGACUCCAUGAAGUUGGAAUCGCUAGUAAUCGCAGAUCAGCACGCUGCGGUGAAUACGUUCCCGGGCCUU
This 468-nucleotide ribosomal RNA is filed under the name uncultured Desulfocapsa sp. RNAcentral's name for it is "bacterial SSU rRNA". It matches the Rfam family "Bacterial small subunit ribosomal RNA", at positions 916 to 1381 of the family's 1533-position model. The record is from RNAcentral. Lineage: Bacteria; Pseudomonadati; Thermodesulfobacteriota; Desulfobulbia; Desulfobulbales; Desulfocapsaceae.